UGGCGGCGUGCCUAAUACAUGCAAGUUGAGCGAUAAAGGUUGGUACUUGUACCGACUGGAUGAGCAGCGAACGGGUGAGUAACGCGUGGGGAAUCUGCCUUUGAGCGGGGGACAACAUUUGGAAACGAAUGCUAAUACCGCAUAAAAACUUUAAACACAAGUUUUAAGUUUGAAAGAUGCAAUUGCAUCACUCAAAGAUGAUCCCGCGUUGUAUUAGCUAGUUGGUGAGGUAAAGGCUCACCAAGGCGAUGAUACAUAGCCGACCUGAGAGGGUGAUCGGCCACAUUGGGACUGAAACACGGCCCAAACUCCUACGGGAGGCAGCAGUAGGGAAUCUUCGGCAAUGGACGAAAGUCUGACCGAACAACGCCGCGUGAGUGAAGAAGGUUUUCGGAUCGUAAAACUCUGUUGGUAGAGAAGAACGUUGGUGAGAGUGGAAAGCUCAUCAAGUGACGGUAACUACCCAGAAAGGGACGGCUAACUACGUGCCAGCAGCCGCGGUAAUACGUAGGUCCCGAGCGUUGUCCGGAUUUAUUGGGCGUAAAGCGAGCGCAGGUGGUUUAUUAAGUCUGGUGUAAAAGGCAGUGGCUCAACCAUUGUAUGCAUUGGAAACUUGUAGACUUGAGUGCAGGAGAGGAGAGUGGAAUUCCAUGUGUAGCGGUGAAAUGCGUAGAUAUAUGGAGGAACACCGGUGGCGAAAGCGGCUCUCUGGCCUGUAACUGACACUGAGGCUCGAAAGCGUGGGGAGCAAACAGGAUUAGAUACCCUGGUAGUCCACGCCGUAAAACGAUGAGUGCUAGAUGUAGGGAGCUAUAAGUUCUCUGUAUCGCAGCUAACGCAAUAAGCACUCCGCCUGGGGAGUACGACCGCAAGGUUGAAACUCAAAGGAAUUGACGGGGGCCCGCACAAGCGGUGGAGCAUGUGGUUUAAUUAGAAGCAACGCGAAGAACCUUACCAGGUCUUGACAUACUCGUGCUAUUCCUAGAGAUAGGAAGUUCCUUCGGGACACGGGAUACAGGUGGUGCAUGGUUGUUGUCAGCUCGUGUCGUGAGAUGUUGGGUUAAGUCCCGCAACGAGCGCAACCCCUAUUGUUAGUUGCCAUCAUUAAGUUGGGCACUCUAACGAGACUGCCGGUGAUAAACCGGAGGAAGGUGGGGAUGACGUCAAAUCAUCAUGCCCCUUAUGACCUGGGCUACACACGUGCUACAAUGGAUGGUACAACGAGUCGCGAGACAGUGAUGUUUAGCUAAUCUCUUAAAACCAUUCUCAGUUCGGAUUGUAGGCUGCAACUCGCCUACAUGAAGUCGGAAUCGCUAGUAAUCGCGGAUCAGCACGCCGCGGUGAAUACGUUCCCGGGCCUUGUACACACCGCCCGUCACACCACGGGAGUUGGGAGUACCCGAAGUAGGUUGCCUAACC
Molecule: ribosomal RNA, 1419 nt
Filed under: Lactococcus lactis subsp. lactis
Lineage: Bacteria; Bacillati; Bacillota; Bacilli; Lactobacillales; Streptococcaceae
Description: bacterial SSU rRNA
Rfam family: Bacterial small subunit ribosomal RNA
Source: RNAcentral